GAUGAACGCUGGCGGCGUGCCUAAUACAUGCAAGUCGAGCGAACAGACGAGGAGCUUGCUCCUCUGACGUUAGCGGCGGACGGGUGAGUAACACGUGGAUAACCUACCUAUAAGACUGGGAUAACUUCGGGAAACCGGAGCUAAUACCGGAUAAUAUAUUGAACCGCAUGGAUCAAUAGUGAAAGACGGUUUUGGUGUCACUUAUAGAUGGAUCCGCGCCGCAUUAGCUAGUUGGUAAGGUAACGGCUUACCAAGGCGACGAUGCGUAGCCGACCUGAGAGGGUGAUCGGCCACACUGGAACUGAGACACGGUCCAGACUCCUACGGGAGGCAGCAGUAGGGAAUCUUCCGCAAUGGGCGAAAGCCUGACGGAGCAACGCCGCGUGAGUGAUGAAGGUCUUCGGAUCGUAAAACUCUGUUAUUAGGGAAGAACAAAUGUGUAAGUAACUAUGCACGUCUUGACGGUACCUAAUCAGAAAGCCACGGCUAACUACGUG
RNAcentral lists this ribosomal RNA (497 nucleotides) under uncultured bacterium. Its description in RNAcentral is "partial 16S ribosomal RNA". It matches the Rfam family "Bacterial small subunit ribosomal RNA", at positions 28 to 507 of the family's 1533-position model. The record is from RNAcentral.